Molecule: ribosomal RNA, 859 nt
Filed under: uncultured Bacillus sp.
Lineage: Bacteria; Bacillati; Bacillota; Bacilli; Caryophanales; Bacillaceae
Description: bacterial SSU rRNA
Rfam family: Bacterial small subunit ribosomal RNA
Source: RNAcentral
AUGCUCAGGACGAACGCUGGCGGCGUGCUAAUACAUGCAAGUCGAGCGGACAGAUGGGAGCUUGCUCCUGAUGUUAGCGGCGGACGGGUGAGUAACACGUGGGUAACCUGCCUGUAAGACUGGGAUAACUCCGGGAAACCGGGGCUAAUACCGGAUGGUUGUUUGAACCGCAUGGUUCAAACAUAAAAGGUGGCUUCGGCUACCACUUACAGAUGGACCCGCGGCGCAUUAGCUAGUUGGUGAGGUAAUGGCUCACCAAGGCAACGAUGCGUAGCCGACCUGAGAGGGUGAUCGGCCACACUGGGACUGAGACACGGCCCAGACUCCUACGGGAGGCAGCAGUAGGGAAUCUUCCGCAAUGGACGAAAGUCUGACGGAGCAACGCCGCGUGAGUGAUGAAGGUUUUCGGAUCGUAAAGCUCUGUUGUUAGGGAAGAACAAGUACCGUUCGAAUAGGGCGGUACCUUGACGGUACCUAACCAGAAAGCCACGGCUAACUACGUGCCAGCAGCCGCGGUAAUACGUAGGUGGCAAGCGUUGUCCGGAAUUAUUGGGCGUAAAGGGCUCGCAGGCGGUUUCUUAAGUCUGAUGUGAAAGCCCCCGGCUCAACCGGGGAGGGUCAUUGGAAACUGGGGAACUUGAGUGCAGAAGAGGAGAGUGGAAUUCCACGUGUAGCGGUGAAAUGCGUAGAGAUGUGGAGGAACACCAGUGGCGAAGGCGACUCUCUGGUCUGUAACUGACGCUGAGGAGCGAAAGCGUGGGGAGCGAACAGGAUUAGAUACCCUGGUAGUCCACGCCGUAAACGAUGAGUGCUAAGUGUUAGGGGGUUUCCGCCCCUUAGUGCUGCAGCUAACGCAUAA